ACAUUAAAGUUAAAGUCCAAUAAUAAUUUAUGGACGAAUAUGUUUUAAGUCUGUGUAAGGGAUUGUGUCAAAAGCCAAGACGUAUUUUCAAAUUUCGCCUACCGUUGAAACUAUAAAUUUGUAAAGCGGCACGAAGCAGUCAUAAGUUUUCAAUAACUGCUGAAGUGAGCGCGGGAUGUCUUCAUCAUUCUUAUAAAUAUCCAAGAGGCAGUCUAUCAAUGUAAAUCUUUGAAGAUUAUAUUGGGGACAGUCAAAGAAAAUGUGAUCAAGAGUUUGGAUGGAUAAAUUACAGAAUUGACAAGUUGGAGAAUCUAAAACACCGAUCCUAAAUAAAUGAGCACCACUACGAGAAUGUCCCAGACGUAACCGAGAAAUUGUGGUGUAAAAUUUUCUGUGGACAUUUAAGGAUAGAAGAAUGGAUGAUAAUCGUUCUAAAUCAACAUUAUUAAAUGCUCCUACAACAUCCAAGAAAACACCAGCCAAUAUCUUAUUGUCCAUCUGGGCACUAUGGAUGUCAAGACAUAAAUACCGUAUACUCUCACAAGCAGAACGACCACAUCGAAAUCCAAAUUGAUUAUUAGAUUACUGUGUGGAGGAAUGUUGGAUGGAAUUGAAGAAGAUUCAGUUUCCGACACUACCAUGGAAAAUUUUGUGAUUGUAGGCAAGUGAUAGCUGCCCAAAGAGUCCUGAUGAACUUGCCAUUCACAGCACAGGAAUAAUGAAGAUGAUACUAUUGUUAGAUCUAGUCCAUUUGGUCUCCAAGAAUGAGUACCCACUGUAGUUGGUUGAUCAUUAUUUAAGAGCAUUAAGUCAUUAUCGUCCAUUACAUCCAUGAUGUCUCUACCUCUAGAAUAGGUUCUAUUACAACCCCAAUUGGUAUGGUGAGCAUUAAAAUCACCAGCAAUUAUUAGUAGUUUUGGAAUACUAUGCAACAGUCUAUUAAAUUUAGAUUUGUCAAAGUUAGGUACACUGUUGCCAGGACUAUAAAAGCUAACAAUUGAGAUGUCUUUUUGUUUGUAUUUAAUUUUGAUUGCUACAUUUUGCAAGGAGUUUUAACCAAAACGAUGGAGUUAUUAUGUAUAUAAACUCUGAUAUACAAGGAUACGUUAAUGAGAGAAAUCCGGCCCUUUAUUGAAUCUCUGGAUAUGGUCCUUACUACAACCAGGUCUCGUAACAUCGUCUUAACCGGUGACAUAAAUAUAGACACCCUUAACCUAAGCAACAAAAACACUUCCGAUUACCUGGACGUAAUAGGGUCCCAUGGUCUCCACGCUGCAGUAAAUAAACCAACCCAUGGAAAAACAUGUCUUGACCACUUCAUGAUCAAACUAGUAGGAAACCCCAAAUGCUAUGUUUUAAAUACAGACAUGACAGACCAUUUACCACUGCUUCUAUCGAUCCCAGGUUCCCCCGCACCCCGAAUACCCGAUCAAGGAGCAUAUACUAGAACCAAAACCGAUUUUGACGGAAUCAAGAAAUAUUUAGUAGAAUAUGAUUGGUCAGACUUUUUAUUAAUUACUGAAACUAAUGAAGCAGCCCAAAUACUGACCAAUAUACUUCAAGAAAUUAUUCUCAAGUUUACGGAUACCACUAUACUUUCACGCCGA
Molecule: long non-coding RNA, 1607 nt
Organism: Leptidea sinapis
Lineage: Eukaryota; Metazoa; Arthropoda; Insecta; Lepidoptera; Pieridae
Exons: 4
Source: RefSeq, a predicted model, not a curated record